This 298-nucleotide ribosomal RNA is filed under the name uncultured bacterium. RNAcentral describes it as "partial 16S ribosomal RNA". It matches the Rfam family "Bacterial small subunit ribosomal RNA", at positions 335 to 652 of the family's 1533-position model. The record is from RNAcentral.
AGCCUACGGGGCGCAGCAGUAGGGAAUCUUUCACAAUGGGCGAAAGCCUGAUGGAGCAACGCCGCGUGCAGGAUGAAGGCCUUCGGGUUGUAAACUGCUUUUCUAAGCGAGAAAUAUGAGUGUACCUGAAGAAAAAGCAUCGGCUAACUCCGUGCCAGCAGCCGCGGUAAUACGGAGGAUGCGAGCGUUAUCCGGAUUUAUUGGGUUUAAAGGGUGCGCAGGCGGUCUGUUAAGUCAGCGGUCAAAGCCCGGGGCUCAACCCCGGCCCGCCGUUGAAACUGGCAGUCUCGAGUUGGAG